RNAcentral lists this ribosomal RNA (465 nucleotides) under uncultured bacterium. Its description in RNAcentral is "partial 16S ribosomal RNA". It matches the Rfam family "Bacterial small subunit ribosomal RNA", at positions 338 to 795 of the family's 1533-position model. The record is from RNAcentral.
CCUACGGGAGGCAGCAGUAGGGAAUCUUCCACAAUGGGCGAAAGCCUGAUGGAGCAACGCCGCGUGGGUGAAGAAGGUCUUCGGAUCGUAAAACCCUGUUGUUAGAGAAGAAAGUGCGUGAGAGUAACUGUUCACGUUUCGACGGUAUCUAACCAGAAAGCCACGGCUAACUACGUGCCAGCAGCCGCGGUAAUACGUAGGUGGCAAGCGUUAUCCGGAUUUAUUUGGCGUAAAGGGAACGCAGGCGGUCUUUUAAGUCUGAUGUGAAAGCCUUCGGCUUAACCGGAGUAGUGCAUUGGAAACUGGGAGACUUGAGAGCAGAAGAGGAGAGUGGAACUCCAUGUGUAGCGGUGAAAUGCGUAGAUAUAUGGAAGAACACCAGUGGCGAAAGCGGCUCUCUGGUCUGUAACUGACGCUGAGGUUCGAAAGCGUGGGUAGCAAACAGGAUUAGAUACCCUAGUAGUC